UUGGAGGGCAAGUCUGGUGCCAGCAGCCGCGGUAAUUCCAGCUCCAAUAGCGUAUAUUAAAGUUGUUGCAGUUAAAAAGCUCGUAGUUGAAUUUCGGGAUUCAUCCGUUGGUCGGGCUUCACGGUCCGCACUGGUGUGAUGGGUUCCUACCUUCUGAAUAACCGGCAUGCCAUUAAUUUGGUGCGCCGGGGAAGCAGAACUAUUACCUUGAAAAAAUUAGAGUGCUUAAAGCAGGCAAGUGCCUGAAUAGGUUAGCAUGGAAUAAUAAAAUAGGACGGCAUGGUUCUAUUUUGUUGGUUUCUAGGAUCACCGUAAUGAUUAAUAGGGAUAGUUGGGGGCAUUAGUAUUCAAUUGUCAGAGGUGAAAUUCUUGGAUUUAUUGAAGACUAACUUCUGCGAAAGCAUUUGCCAAGGAUGUUUUCAUUAACCAAGAACGAAAGUUAGGGGAUCGAAGACGAUCAGUUACCGUCGUAGUCUUAACCAUAAACUAUGCCGACUAGGGAUCGGACGAUGUUAAUUUUUUAAUGACUCGUUCGGCGCCUUACGGGAAAC
RNAcentral lists this ribosomal RNA (551 nucleotides) under uncultured Glomeromycotina. Its description in RNAcentral is "SSU rRNA". It matches the Rfam family "Eukaryotic small subunit ribosomal RNA", at positions 548 to 1098 of the family's 1831-position model. The record is from RNAcentral. Lineage: Eukaryota; Fungi; Glomeromycota.